UCCCUGAUGGUUCAAUGGUUAAGACUUCACCUUCCAUUGGAGGGGGUGCAGGUUCAAUCCCUGGUCAGGGAG
Molecule: transfer RNA, 72 nt
Filed under: Ovis aries (sheep)
Lineage: Eukaryota; Metazoa; Chordata; Mammalia; Artiodactyla; Bovidae
Rfam family: tRNA
About the family: Transfer RNA (tRNA) molecules are approximately 80 nucleotides in length. Their secondary structure includes four short double-helical elements and three loops (D, anti-codon, and T loops).
Source: Rfam by way of RNAcentral